AUUUAAUUGAUAGAUAUUGGAAUUCUAAUCUACUUUAGAAUUGAUCAAGUUUUUAUUAGGAUUUGAUUUAGGAUUUAGGAUUUGUCUAGGAUUUAUUUAAGGUUUGAUUUAGAAUUUAGGAUUUAUCUAGAGUUUGAUUUAAGAUUUAGGAUUUUAUUAAGAUUUGAUUUAAGGUUUAAGAUUUAUUUAGGAUUUAAUUUAGGAUUUAAGAUUUGUUUAGGAUUUUAUUUAUGAUUUAAAAUUUAUCUAGGAUUUGGUUUAGGAUUUAGGAUUUAUUUAAGGUUUGAUUUAGAAUUUAAAAUUUGUCUAAGAUUUGGUUUAGGAUUUAGGAUUUGUCUUGGACUUGAUUUAAGAUUUAAAAUUUAUCUAGGAUUUAAUUUAGGAUUUAAUUAGGAUUUAAUCUAGAAUUUAGUUAAGAUUCAUUAGAAUUUUAAUUAAGAUUAAAAUAGGAUUUGAUUAAGAUUUAUUUAAGAUUUAUUUAAGUUUUUUCUAAUAUUUUUUUAGAAUUUCUUUUGAAUUUGAUUAAAUCUUAAUUAGUAUUACUAAGUUUUAAUUAGAAUUUAUUUAAGAAUCUAUUAGA
This 580-nucleotide long non-coding RNA is filed under the name Physcomitrium patens. RNAcentral's name for it is "long non-coding RNA (PPAT_LNC013729)". The record is from RNAcentral. Lineage: Eukaryota; Viridiplantae; Streptophyta; Bryopsida; Funariales; Funariaceae.